UGCAAGUCGACGGUGAAGAGAGCUUGCUCUCUGGAUCAGUGGCGAACGGGUGAGUAACACGUGAGCAACCUGCCCCGGACUCUGGGAUAACAGCUGGAAACAGCUGCUAAUACCGGAUACGAGCUGCGAAGGCAUCUUCAGCAGCUGGAAAGAAUUUCGGUCCGGGAUGGGCUCGCGGCCUAUCAGCUAGUUGGUGAGGUAAUGGCUCACCAAGGCGUCGACGGGUAGCCGGCCUGAGAGGGUGACCGGCCACACUGGGACUGAGACACGGCCCAGACUCCUACGGGAGGCAGCAGUGGGGAAUAUUGCACAAUGGGCGAAAGCCUGAUGCAGCAACGCCGCGUGAGGGAUGACGGCCUUCGGGUUGUAAACCUCUUUUAGCAGGGAAGAAGCGAAAGUGACGGUACCUGCAGAAAAAGCGCCGGCUAACUACGUGCCAGCAGCCGCGGUAAUACGUAGGGCGCAAGCGUUAUCCGGAAUUAUUGGGCGUAAAGAGCUCGUAGGCGGUUUGUCGCGUCUGCUGUGAAAACCCGAGGCUCAACCUCGGGCCUGCAGUGGGUACGGGCAGACUAGAGUGCGGUAGGGGAGAUUGGAAUUCCUGGUGUAGCGGUGGAAUGCGCAGAUAUCAGGAGGAACACCGAUGGCGAAGGCAGAUCUCUGGGCCGUAACUGACGCUGA
Molecule: ribosomal RNA, 678 nt
Filed under: Microbacterium sp. 11386
Lineage: Bacteria; Bacillati; Actinomycetota; Actinomycetes; Micrococcales; Microbacteriaceae
Description: bacterial SSU rRNA
Rfam family: Bacterial small subunit ribosomal RNA
Source: RNAcentral